CACGUAGUUAGCCGGGGCUUCUUGGUCAGGUACCGUCAUUUCUUUCUUCCCUGCUGACAGAGCUUUACAUACCGAAAUACUUCUUCACUCACGCGGCGUCGCUGGAUCAGGGUUCCCCCCAUUGUCCAAUAUCCCCCACUGCUGCCUCCCGUAGGAGUUUGGGCCGUGUCUCAGUCCCAAUGUGGCCGUCCACCCUCUCAGGCCGGCUACUGAUCGUCGCCUUGGUGGGCCGUUACCCCGCCAACAAGCUAAUCAGACGCGGGUCCAUCUUACACCACCGGAGUUUUUCACACAAAUCCAUGCGGCUUCGUGCGCUUAUGCGGUAUUAGCACCUAUUUCUAAGUGUUAUCCCCCAGUGUAAGGCAGGUUACCCACGCGUUACUCACCCGUCCGCCACUAAGAUUACACAUGAUUUGACCGAAAUCGCCUCUGCGUAUAAUCUCCGUUCGACUUGCAUGUGUUAAGCACGCCGCCAGCGUUCAUCCUGAGCCAGGAUCAAACUCU
This 504-nucleotide ribosomal RNA is filed under the name uncultured Lachnospiraceae bacterium. Its description in RNAcentral is "partial 16S ribosomal RNA". Lineage: Bacteria; Bacillati; Bacillota; Clostridia; Lachnospirales; Lachnospiraceae. The record is from RNAcentral.